UAAGCUCAUACAGUUUCUCUUCACACAGGGCACAAAAUGUCAGUCAGUUACCUCCCCUUAGCCCUGGUGAGGAAGAGGCACUUUUUCAUUUUGCAUUUUUCCUUUAGUGCCUCCUUCCCAUUAGCUCUUUGACUUCUUCGGCUGUGGCCACAUUUACAAAUCAUGUUUAUGUUAGUGACCUUCUUCUACUGAGAAAAAAUUGUUUCUAGGCAAUGGUAUGCUGGUCAAUGUUUAACAAACUGGCUUUCUGGGAAAGCGUAUAUGCUUAUGAUCAACAAAACAAUACGUCAAGCCCUGAUUUGUAGCCUUUGCCAGUUUCAGUGGCGUAAAUACUCCCAUUGCUAUGUAUUUAGGCCGUUCCUCUGACUUGCGACUUAGGCCAUUGUUCAUCAGUGUCGGGGAAGGACGUCCAGAUGGGAUAUUCCUGGCUCCCAGUGGCUCGCCCUUGCUUCCAAUCUCUGUUUUCCAAAUUGGGACUAUCAGGUAAAGAUUUAAGUGUGAGAAACAGCGUGAUGUCAGCAGAGGGGAGAAAUGAAACUAGAUGUAAUGAAAGUAACUAGGCCCUUGACUUCUUGGCUGAUGCCUGCCCGUGUUGGGGAGGACCGUCUGCUCUGCUAGAAUCUGUGCAUGCUCACCCUCCACCCAAGCCGCUCUAGGUGUCUACUCCUGCUCCCCCUUCAGAGUUCUCAACUGUCCUGGGGGAAGCCUCCGUUGACCCCUGAAGUUAGGUCAGAGGCCCUGUUCUGUGAAUCCCUUGACCCUGGACUCCUCUGGCGUCAUCGCAAAGGAAGAUUAGCCCUGAGCUUACUGCUGCCAAUCCUCCUCUUUUUGUUGAGGAAGACUGGCCCUGAGCUAACAUCUGUGCCCAUCUUCCUCUACUUUAUAUGUGGGACGCCUACCACAGCAUGGCUUGCCAAGCCGUGCCAUGUCUGCACCCAGGAUCCGAACCGGCGAACCCGGGGCUGCCGAAGUGGAACAUGUGCACUUAACCACUGCGCCACCGGGCUGGCCCCUGUGGAGCAUAUUUUUAAGUGCUUAUUUGCUAUCUGUGUAUCUUCUUUGGUGAGGUGGCUAUUGAGGUCUUUGACUCAUUUUUAAAUUGGAUUGUUUGUUUUCUGGCUAGAAGAAUUUAACCCAACUAAGGAGGAAAGAGAAGCUUCCCUGAGAAAGUGAUGACUUGAAAGAAGAAACUUGAAUGAUGAGUCAGAGUUGGAUAGGUUAAGAGAUAGGAAGCGAGAGGAAAAGGAAAAUGUAUAGACAAAGGGAAAAUUAUAUGCCAAUGCAAGGAGUUGAGAAAGAGGUGCCACGCUUGAAGAAGGCUGGAGGAUAAUCAAGCAAAUGGGAGAAUGAUGCCUAAAGUAUGCAGGAACAAGAGUUUUAUAAGAUUAUCUGAGAUUUGAGAUAUUUUUCUAAAGAAGAGUCAAAAUGAAAAGUUUUAAAUAGC
This 1444-nucleotide long non-coding RNA is filed under the name Equus asinus (donkey). Its description in RNAcentral is "lncRNA (ENSEASG00005038106.1)". Lineage: Eukaryota; Metazoa; Chordata; Mammalia; Perissodactyla; Equidae. The record is from RNAcentral.